RNAcentral lists this small RNA (138 nucleotides) under Pseudocitrobacter vendiensis. Its description in RNAcentral is "Enterobacteria sRNA STnc130". It matches the Rfam family "Enterobacteria sRNA STnc130". The record is from RNAcentral. Lineage: Bacteria; Pseudomonadati; Pseudomonadota; Gammaproteobacteria; Enterobacterales; Enterobacteriaceae.
UAUAGCGAAAUUUUUAAUUUUUAGUUUUAUAUGCUGCGGGUUACUUCGAAGGGAGUAUUUCUCUUUUGAAUGGUUAAGGUAUUGCUCAGUAUCAAUGAUGGGCAUAAAAAAAGCGCCCGCAGGCGCUUUUUACAUAAG